Molecule: ribosomal RNA, 253 nt
Filed under: uncultured bacterium
Lineage: Bacteria
Description: partial 16S ribosomal RNA
Rfam family: Bacterial small subunit ribosomal RNA
Source: RNAcentral
UACGUAGGGGGCAAGCGUUGUCCGGAUUUAUUGGGCGUAAAGAGCGUGUAGGCGGCCAGGUAGGUCAGCUGUGAAAACUCGAGGCUCAACCUCGAGACGUCGGCGGAAACCAUCUGGCUAGAGUCCGGAAGAGGAGAGUGGAAUUCCUGGUGUAGCGGUGAAAUGCGCAGAUAUCAGGAAGAACACCCGUGGCGAAGGCGGCUCUCUGGGACGGUACUGACGCUGAGACGCGAAAGCGUGGGGAGCGAACAGG